GGGGUUGUGGCUCAGUGGUAGAGCACUCGCCUAGCAUGUGCCAGGCCCUGGGUUUGAUCCUCAGCACCACA
RNAcentral lists this transfer RNA (71 nucleotides) under Marmota monax (woodchuck). RNAcentral describes it as "tRNA.Ala". Lineage: Eukaryota; Metazoa; Chordata; Mammalia; Rodentia; Sciuridae. The record is from RNAcentral.